UCAGACCCUGGAGCCUGCUUCAGAUUCUGUCUCUGCUUUUGUCGAGAUGUUCCUGGAGCUGUGGGACAUUCUACAAGGGUUUUGGCCCACUUCCCUGAACCCUCCUCAAUUUCUCUGGUUUUGUAGACUAUGACAGUCUAUGAGAAUAAAAAUGGCUUUCUUUCA
This is a long non-coding RNA of Puma concolor (puma), 165 nucleotides long. RefSeq lists it as uncharacterized. Lineage: Eukaryota; Metazoa; Chordata; Mammalia; Carnivora; Felidae. The record is from RefSeq and is a predicted model, not a curated record.